This 113-nucleotide small nuclear RNA is filed under the name Jaculus jaculus (lesser Egyptian jerboa). The record is from RNAcentral. Lineage: Eukaryota; Metazoa; Chordata; Mammalia; Rodentia; Dipodidae.
GUGCUCACUUUGGCAGCACAUAUACUAAAAUUGAAACAAUACAGAAAAGAAGAUUAGCACAGCCCUUGCGCAAGGAUGACCUAGUGUGCAUGCAGGAUGUCUUCACCAGCUCU